This 497-nucleotide ribosomal RNA is filed under the name uncultured bacterium. RNAcentral describes it as "partial 16S ribosomal RNA". It matches the Rfam family "Bacterial small subunit ribosomal RNA", at positions 28 to 507 of the family's 1533-position model. The record is from RNAcentral.
GAUGAACGCUGGCGGCGUGCCUAAUACAUGCAAGUCGAGCGAACAGACGAGGAGCUUGCUCCUCUGACGUUAGCGGCGGACGGGUGAGUAACACGUGGAUAACCUACCUAUAAGACUGGGAUAACUUCGGGAAACCGGAGCUAAUACCGGAUAAUAUAUUGAACCGCAUGGUUCAAUAGUGAAAGACGGUUUUGCUGUCACUUAUAGAUGGAUCCGCGCCGCAUUAGCUAGUUGGUAAGGUAACGGCUUACCAAGGCAACGAUGCGUAGCCGACCUGAGAGGGUGAUAGGCCACACUGGAACUGAGACACGGUCCAGACUCCUACGGGAGGCAGCAGUAGGGAAUCUUCCGCAAUGGGCGAAAGCCUGACGGAGCAACGCCGCGUGAGUGAUGAAGGUCUUCGGAUCGUAAAGCUCUGUUAUUAGGGAAGAACAAAUGUGGAAGUAAAUAUGGACGUAUUGACGGUACCUAAUCAGAAAGCAACGGCUAACUACGUG